This 306-nucleotide small nuclear RNA is filed under the name Ursus maritimus (polar bear). RNAcentral describes it as "7SK RNA (ENSUMAG00000007961.1)". It matches the Rfam family "7SK RNA". From Rfam's summary of the family: 7SK was discovered as an abundant small nuclear RNA in the mid-70s but a possible function has only recently been suggested. The record is from Rfam by way of RNAcentral. Lineage: Eukaryota; Metazoa; Chordata; Mammalia; Carnivora; Ursidae.
GGUGGGAGGGCAAUCUGGCUGCCAUCUAUUAUAUCUAUCACCUAUUGAUUUUUCUGAGUUGGUUCUGCUUAUCUGAUUUGCUAGGUGGGGUCCCCUUUUUCCCCCUCAGCUGUCCAUCUACAUCCCUCCCACAACUCAGUCAAAAAGGGUGACCUUCCCAUAUAGAGAAGAAAUCACCUUCAGGCAAGGGAACUGAAGUUGUCGAACUCCCUGAGGAUAAUUAUGAAACCAGCUCUGCUUGUGGACGGUAAACAAUUUCCUUUAAUUUGCUAAGUCCUUCUAUCUCUUUUACAAUAGGAAGGAGAU